GAUGAACGCUGGCGGCGUGCCUAAUACAUGCAAGUCGAGCGAACAGACGAGGAGCUUGCUCCUCUGACGUUAGCGGCGGACGGGUGAGUAACACGUGGAUAACCUACCUAUAAGACUGGGAUAACUUCGGGAAACCGGAGCUAAUACCGGAUAAUAUAUUGAACCGCAUGGUUCAAUAGUGAAAGACGGUUUUGCUGUCACUUAUAGAUGGAUCCGCGCCGCAUUAGCUAGUUGGUAAGGUAACAGCUUACCAAGGCAACGAUGCGUAGCCGACCUGAGAGGGUGAUAGGCCACACUGGAACUGAAACACGGUCCAGACUCCUACGGGAGGCAGCAGUAGGGAAUCUUCCGCAAUGGGCGAAAGCCUGACGGAGCAACGCCGCGUGAGUGAUGAAGGUCUUCGGAUCGUAAAACUCUGUUAUUAGGGAAGAACAAAUGUGUAAGUAACUAUGCACGUCUUGACGGUACCUAAUCAGAAAGCCACGGCUAACUACGUG
This 497-nucleotide ribosomal RNA is filed under the name uncultured bacterium. RNAcentral describes it as "partial 16S ribosomal RNA". It matches the Rfam family "Bacterial small subunit ribosomal RNA", at positions 28 to 507 of the family's 1533-position model. The record is from RNAcentral.